UCGCAGUGUGGCUUAUCGUAGAAUAGGCCCUCGAAGAGCAUAUUCCCUUUGAUUUCCAAUUUUUGAAUCUGUCAGCAGCAAUGGCGGUCUCGUGGAGGCCAACUUUGCCUCUGAUUCUGUAUAGGAGCCUGGUUGUGGAUUUUUCUGUACCUACCUUCUUUAUAAAUAUUCCUCCACUAGAAGUAUAGGGUUUAUCGAUAAAAUUGAUACCGUCCAGUUCUAAAAUCAAAUCUUCGCUCUCAUCGUUUACGAAGAGUGGAUCACGAUUCCUUCGUGCAAAGUUCAACAAGCCACCGAAAUUGAAGACGACCCGGAGGACUUGAAGGUGAUGAUAGGCGCCAAUUUGCUCUUGCUGGGUUCAGAAGCUGCAUUUCUCAACUUUUAUUUCAGAGACUAUUACAUGUCAAAUCCUUUCGGUCGAAGCCCGAUACGCUGCUAGUCUUGGGAGAUGUUUCUGUAAAAGGUUCUGAGUUGACGAGAACUCAAUAUGUAUCUGUGCUCCAUCAGUUUCACGGACUGUUAGGCCCAUUUCUUAGACCUUGGACAAUGCAGCGCGUUGAAUGUGAAAUCGUUCAAAUGGGUUGCUGGCAACUUCCCGGAAUAAUCUCCGGUUUGGCGUUGAGAAAGUAAUACAGAGAGAAAGUGUGGAUUUAUAAAUGGAAGCGGAAGGCACUACUGAUGCAAUGAAUGAGUUUGGGGAAAUCAGACAGACAGUCCAUAACUUUGGUUAGAAAGCAAAUACUAUUUUAUCUGGGUCUGGUCCUGUUCUCCUACUUCACUUCCCUUUACACAGGACAACAGGUGGCAGCUGUAGUGGGGUUCAUGCUUUUACGAGUGAGUUCCAUUACGCUGGAUGGCAGGGGGCUUGUGGGGAUUGGGCCAUACAAGUUAUCACUCUCCCACCAAAUGUUACCGAAUACAUUUUUCAGGCUCUUAAACCAAGGUUCAGUUUCAAGCAAAGAACUGAAAUGGCUACAACUUAGUGUUACAGCAGUUAUUGAUCAUAAGCGGGUACCUCAAUUUCAAACGGAGAUGGA
Long non-coding RNA from Juglans regia (Persian walnut), 1037 nucleotides. RefSeq lists it as uncharacterized. Lineage: Eukaryota; Viridiplantae; Streptophyta; Magnoliopsida; Fagales; Juglandaceae. The record is from RefSeq and is a predicted model, not a curated record. The transcript is spliced from 5 exons.